Molecule: ribosomal RNA, 448 nt
Filed under: uncultured bacterium
Lineage: Bacteria
Description: SSU rRNA
Rfam family: Bacterial small subunit ribosomal RNA
Source: RNAcentral
AGAGCGAACGCUGGCGGCAGGCCUAACACAUGCAAGUCGAGCGCCCGUAGCAAUACGGGAGCGGCAGACGGGAUAGUAACACGUGGGAACGCGCCCUUCGGUUCGGAAUAACUCAGGGAAACUUGAGCUAAUACCGGAUACGCCCUUACGGGGAAAGAUUUAUUGCCGAAGGAACGGCCCGCGUCCGAUUAGCUAGUUGGUGAGGUAAUGGCUCACCAAGGCUACGAUCGGUAGCUGGUCUGAGAGGAUGACCAGCAUCACUGGGACUGAGACACGGCCCAGACUCCUACGGGAGGCAGCAGUGGGGAAUAUUGGACAAUGGGCGCAAGCCUGAUCCAGCCAUGCCGCGUGGAUGAUGAAGGCCUUAGGGUUGUAAAGUCCUUUUAACGGGGAAGAUAAUGACGGUACCCGUAGAAUAAGCCCCGGCUAACUUCGUGCCAGCAGCCGC